RNAcentral lists this long non-coding RNA (465 nucleotides) under Rhipicephalus microplus (southern cattle tick). RNAcentral describes it as "uncharacterized LOC119173447, transcript variant X2". Lineage: Eukaryota; Metazoa; Arthropoda; Arachnida; Ixodida; Ixodidae. The record is from RNAcentral.
AGCUGGUACAUUUAGUACGAGAACAAACGGUGAAGAUGAAGGCUGUGAUUUUGUCUCUCGUUUUAUUGGCAGCGCUCACCACCAUGACACUAUGUGGACUUCCACCUCGUCUUGGUAGGGGCCUUAAAUCCGCCUGCACUCCUUAUUGCGGCUUGGGAAUGCGGCAUGGCCAGCGGUGUGGACCACUGUGUACCUGUCAAGCGUUCUUUCACGCCCCAGGAGCGUUAGCGUGCGUGGGAAUCUACUCCAGGAGUCCAUAUGGAGUCCGUCCUCGGCCAGUACCAGGACCACAACAUUAACUUGGAGAUACUCUUCCAAGAGGCUUCCUAUGGAGUCUUUGCUCUGGAAAUAUGCUGGCCGGUUCAGUGCAUCGACGUGGUCAAAAGCGCAAUCACACCGGGGCUCACUGCUUUUUCCGGGCAACAGUAUGCACUCGGCCGGAAUAAACACGUCUAAUAAAUAUCA